Molecule: ribosomal RNA, 198 nt
Filed under: Triticum aestivum (bread wheat)
Lineage: Eukaryota; Viridiplantae; Streptophyta; Magnoliopsida; Poales; Poaceae
Description: partial small subunit ribosomal RNA
Source: RNAcentral
AUGCAUGUUGCUACCCUCGGGCGCAUUGUCUUGGUCAAAGCGGUCCUCACGGUCAUUGUGAUCUACCAUCUCACGCCGCUGGAGCUGCCUGUUGAGGUCUGGAAAAAGAUUGACAGCCUGCGACGUGCCUACCUUUGGGCUGGUUGUGAUAAGGUGUCGGGCGGAAAGUGCAAGGUUAACUGGGAUCUUGUUUGCAAG